CAAGAGGAGGCUUGAUAUUAAAUCUCCACAUCGGAGAGAAACUAUGCUGAUGUCUCCCUUCUUCCUUGGGUUCUGUUCAGUGGCUCGACUACAAACACAAGGUCUGCAGAGAGUGUGAGAGGAGUGAGUUCCUCCGGGUGCUUCCUCUGGGCCCCACUGAGCUGUGAAACCAGGCUUCCACCUCAGUUACUGGGACUGUCACAUCUGGAAAGGACAAUGUCGGGAAGCAGGCACAGUCCCCCCCCCCCACUUGCUGGUGAUGGGCAUGUCAUAGGAAUGUGCACACAUAGCUUUUAUUUUAAGGAGGGAGAGUUUCAAGACAGGAGUCUCUCUCUCUGAAUCACUCUUCAAAGAUAUAUUUGAUAAUCUUUCUGGGAAAACAUAGAAUAGCAUUUCAAAUUUUCAAAAAGCCUUCUCCAUUUAGAUAAUCUUGCAUUUGCUAUCAUUCCUUAAAAUUAUCAUAUACAUUCACAUAUACACUGAUUCCCAAGUAUUUAAACAGCUAUUUUUCUUCAAACCUGCCUCACCCAUGGGUCCUGUCACCAAUAGUGCCUGAAGGCUGAUGUUCACCUUGCUCUUCCCCCACAUGGAGCACUUCGUCUUACACAUUUCCAUUAUCCUUACAAAGGGAUAUGAAUUAUUUGUGCAGAGUGCAGAUGGCUUAAGCCAUCAUUUCCCAAAAUGCAUUCCAACAAAGCAUACUUGCAUGGGAAUUCCAUGGGUGUUUUAAAAAUUGGGAUUCUACAGCCCAUAUGCCUAUUAAUAGAUGAGUGGAUUUAGACAAUGUGGUACAUAUGCACAAUGGAGUUUUACUUAUCCUCAAAGAAGAAUGAAAUCAUUGUAUUUGCUAGUAAAUGGCUGAAACUGGAGAAGAAUAUGCUAAGUGAAAUAAGGCAGACCCAGAAAACCAAGGGUGAAACGUUAUUUCUCACAUGUGAAAGCUAAUGCAAAAUAAAGGAAAGAAGGUGGGGAUUGGAUAUCAUGAAACUAUAGGGGAGAUCAGUGGAGUAAAG
RNAcentral lists this long non-coding RNA (1013 nucleotides) under Marmota monax (woodchuck). The record is from RNAcentral. Lineage: Eukaryota; Metazoa; Chordata; Mammalia; Rodentia; Sciuridae.